GCGGAGGAAAAGAAACCAACAGGGAUUGCCCUAGUAACGGCGAGUGAAGCGGCAACAGCUCAAAUUUGAAAUCUGGCGCAAGCCCGAGUUGUAAUUUGUAGAGGAUGCUUCUGGGUAGCGGCCGGUCUAAGUUCCUUGGAACAGGACGUCAUAGAGGGUGAGAAUCCCGUAUGUGACUGGCUUGCACUCUGAACGUAGCUCCUUCGACGAGUCGAGUUGUUUGGGAAUGCAGCUCUAAAUGGGAGGUAAAUUUCUUCUAAAGCUAAAUACCGGCCAGAGACCGAUAGCGCACAAGUAGAGUGAUCGAAAGAUGAAAAGCACUUUGGAAAGAGAGUUAAAAAGCACGUGAAAUUGUUGAAAGGGAAGCGCCCGCAACCAGACUUUGCGGCAGUGUUCGGCCGGUCUUCUGACCGGUUUACUCGCUGUCGUGAGGCCAUCAUCGUCUGGGACCGCUGGAUAAGACCUUAGGAAUGUAGCUCCCCCUCGGGGAGUGUUAUAGCCUCUGGUGAUGCAGCGCGUCUCGGGCGAGGUCCGCGCUUCGGCAAGGAUGAUGGCGUAAUGGUUGUCGGCGGCCCGUCUUGAAACACGGACCAAGGAGUCUAACAUCUAUGCGAGUGUUCGGGUGUCAAACCCCUACGCGUAAUGAAAGUGAACGGAGGUGGGAACUUUUUGUGCACCAUCGACCGAUCCUGAUGUCCUCGGAUGGAUUUGAGUAAGAGCAUAGCUGUUGGGACCCGAAAGAUGGUGAACUAUGCCUGAAUAGGGUGAAGCCAGAGGAAACUCUGGUGGAGGCUCGCAGCGGUUCUGACGUGCAAAUCGAUCGUCAAAUUUGGGUAUAGGGGCGAAAGACUAAUCGA
Molecule: ribosomal RNA, 857 nt
Filed under: Pseudocercospora eucalyptorum
Lineage: Eukaryota; Fungi; Ascomycota; Dothideomycetes; Mycosphaerellales; Mycosphaerellaceae
Description: eukaryotic LSU rRNA
Rfam family: Eukaryotic large subunit ribosomal RNA
Source: RNAcentral